UACGUAGGUCCCGAGCGUUGUCCGGAUUUAUUGGGCGUAAAGCGAGCGCAGGUGGUUUAUUAAGUCUGAUGUGAAAGCCUUCGGCUUAACCGGAGUAGUGCAUUGGAAACUGGGAGACUUGAGUGCAGAAGAGGAGAGUGGAACUCCAUGUGUAGCGGUGAAAUGCGUAGAUAUAUGGAAGAACACCAGUGGCGAAAGCGGCUCUCUGGUCUGUAACUGACGCUGAGGUUCGAAAGCGUGGGUAGCAAACAGG
Molecule: ribosomal RNA, 253 nt
Filed under: uncultured bacterium
Lineage: Bacteria
Description: partial 16S ribosomal RNA
Rfam family: Bacterial small subunit ribosomal RNA
Source: RNAcentral